This is a non-coding RNA of Schistosoma mansoni, 44 nucleotides long. Lineage: Eukaryota; Metazoa; Platyhelminthes; Trematoda; Strigeidida; Schistosomatidae. The record is from Rfam.
GUCAGCUGAUGAGUCUCGACUAGGACGAAACGCGCGUUCUAGAU